AUGUCAAAUAUAAAAUAAAAAAUCAUUUGCAAUGAAUUCGUAACAUCCUAAUAUCCUAUUGACAAACCAGGUUGUAUUCCGCCUGGCUCUUCUGUCGAGCAGUCAGCCAGGAUCCCAGGCUAUCAUUUUACUCUAAAAAUGACCAAAUACAUACUCCUUUGGCCAAACCCCAAAUAAUGUGCAAAUAUUUUCGUGGAGAAAUAAAAUUAAAGAACCUUAGUGAGCGCGCUCACAUGCCCCACGUCCCCACAUUGUCACUGGAGAAAUAAAAUAACUGUAAGAAAAAAAAAGUUGUAUAAGAAAAAAAAUGAAUCAUAAUUUCCUGUCGAUAUGUACAUCUACAUAGUAUGUCCUUAUUAUCUACAAGGUUUCAUGAAAUUCUGUGGUGUGGUUUCAGAGGAGUUGCGACGACAAACUGUUGCAGAGGUAUAUCGAAGCACAUAAGUUCAAAGGGGC
This 456-nucleotide long non-coding RNA is filed under the name Mytilus galloprovincialis (Mediterranean mussel). Lineage: Eukaryota; Metazoa; Mollusca; Bivalvia; Mytilida; Mytilidae. The record is from RNAcentral.